This 1344-nucleotide long non-coding RNA is filed under the name Mus musculus (house mouse). Its description in RNAcentral is "long non-coding RNA chr19:46251637-46252981". Lineage: Eukaryota; Metazoa; Chordata; Mammalia; Rodentia; Muridae. The record is from RNAcentral.
AGAGAGAGAGAGAGAGACACAAGAGCAGCAGAAGAAGCUUCUAGAAGUGAGCCAGGCUGUGUGUGUGCUUAACAAACACUACAGGUAAUUUUGAUACAUAGGAAGUGCUUUUUUGAGUUGGUGGAGAAUUUCUCUUUUUCUUUUCUUUCUUUUUUUUUUUUUUUUUCUUUUUGUGACAAGUUUUCUCUGCAUAACCCUGGCUGUCCUGGAACUUGCUCUGUAGACCAGGAUGGCCUUGAACUCACAGAGACCCACCUGCCUCUACCUCCUAAGUGCUGGGCUUAAAGACAUGUACUACCACCACUAGUAUAAUGGGUAAAAUUUUUAGGUUGCUAAAAAAAAUCAUAAAAGCAAAUCAAAACAAUAGGUUAGGAGACUCAUGAGAAGGCCAGGGUCUUCUCCAAGCAAUUAUAGACAGGCUAUCUUCCCUUUCCUGUCUUCUUGACAUAAUUUAAUCUGUUCUUUUGCCGGAGCAGAUCCAACUCAUGAGGGCACAGCAGAGGGCAUGGAGAACAUGGCAGAUGCUGUCACUCACGCCCGUUUUGUGGGCACAGAUCCUGCCAGUGAUGAAGUUGUCCUGAUGAAAAUCCUUCAGGUAAGUGGGAGGGGAGAACAACCAGGCUAAUGGCCAAGAGCUCGUAGGCCGGCUCUACUUGCUGGGUCAGCCGGCAGCAGUGUGAAGCUCGUAGGCCGGCUCUACUUGCUGGGUCAGCCGGCAGCAGCGUGAAGCUGUGCUUUGAUUCCACUGAGGCUUUAGAGACUCACUGUUUCCAAACAAGGAGCUCGGUACCCAAAGUAAAAGCUUUUUCUAAGGGAAAUAGUUAAGAGCUUUAAAUGAAUUGGUAUCAAAUACCAGAAACCCUUACUCCAUCUUGUGCCUCUGGUAGACUGUGUCUGUGUCGUUUAUCUGUUAGGCCUGUGGGCUAGAGAUCCAGUGAGUUAUGAACUAUGUCAGGACUGUGCGAAGCAAAGAGAGGACUCCCAGGUCAGGUACAUGGGAGUAGCUAUUUUGAGUUUUUGUUUUGGGGUUUUUGUUGUUGUUGUUGUUGUUGUUGCUGUUGUUUUGACUCAGGGUUUCUCUGUGUAGCCCUGGCUGUCCAGGAACUCACUCUGUAGAAUAGGCUGCCCUCAAACUCAAGAUCUGCCUGCUUCUGCCUCCAGAGUGCUGGGAUUAAAGGUGUGCACCACCACACUUGUUUUAAUUUUUUUAAUUUUUUGUUUUUGUUUUGGUGGGGCAGGGUCUCAUAUAACUAAGGAUGACCUUGAAUUCUUAUUCCUGUUUUGACUUCCCAAGUGCUUGUGACAUUUUACCUAGCUUUAAGGUCAGCUUACUUCUUGCUAACU